Molecule: non-coding RNA, 135 nt
Organism: Triticum aestivum (bread wheat)
Lineage: Eukaryota; Viridiplantae; Streptophyta; Magnoliopsida; Poales; Poaceae
Source: Rfam
GUACUAUUCCCUCCGUUCUAAAUUACUUGUCUUGGAUUUGUCUAGAUACGGAUUUAUAUAGACUCAUUUUAGUGCUAGAUACAUCCGUAUCUAGACAAAUCUAAGACAACUAAUUCGGAACGGAGGGAGUAUGUG